UUUGGUCUAUUGUGGGAAUGAAGUGGUCAUAACUAUGAUUUUUGUUCAGGGAAAUUUAAGACUAUUUUUUGUUACCUGAAACCAAGUAAUCUCUAAUAAAGGACCUGGGUCAAAAUGGGCAUUAAUUUUAUCCUAUUCUAUUCUAUUCUUUUUUAAAGGUUUUUUUUUUUUUAAGGUUUUAUUUGCUUAUUCAUUUAUUUGAGAGAGUGAGUAUGGGAGAAGAAGAAGAAGACAGGAUCUGAAGCCGACUCGGUGCUGAGUGUGGAACCCGACAUGGGUCUUGAUUGCACAACCGGGAAACCAUGACCUGAGCCAAAACCAAGAGUUAGACAUUGAACCGACUGAGCCACCCAGGCACCCCUGGGCAGUGUGGAUUUUAGAGUUGACUGUGUACAUAACUGCUAUAACGAAGUAGUGGAAGCUGAAGGAAGGAAGAGGGAAUCAUAGACAGGAUUAAAAUGAACCUGAAAUCUUCUUUACUGCUGGGACAGCAAUUGAUGUCUUCUGUAUGGGUUUCGAUAGCACUGAUUUGGUAGGAAAAGUCCCACAAAGGCACUGCAGCAUUUAUGCAGCUUGGUUGGCUUCUCCAUUGGCUACUUGGAGCAUAUUGAUUGCCCAUGCCUCAGCCGACCUGUCACUGAAUGACUUUGCACCUUAGCACUGUACUAAUCCGCCAGGCCUCAGCUCUGUGAACAGCCAAGCACGGAAGGAAAACCCCACAGGAAACAGUUCACCCCAUUCUGGCCCUUGUUCCAAUCAAGCGGGAAUGUAUACUGUUUUAGCAUAUUUAUAUUUGUGUAUACACUGUACUCAUACACGCGAAGGCUCUGCUAGUUUCUGUUAAGACUUGUGGCUUCUAGGGCGCCUGGGUGGCUCAGUGGGUUAAGCCUCUGCCUUCAGCUCAGGUCAUGAUCUCAGGGUCCUGGGAUCGAGCCCCAUAUCGGGCUUCCUUCCCAGCGGGGAGCCUGCUUUCCCCCCUCUCUCUGUCUGUCUCUCUGCCUAAUUGUAAUCCCU
Molecule: long non-coding RNA, 1014 nt
Filed under: Neogale vison (American mink)
Lineage: Eukaryota; Metazoa; Chordata; Mammalia; Carnivora; Mustelidae
Description: Neovison vison (American mink) lncRNA (ENSNVIG00000020274.1)
Source: RNAcentral